Molecule: long non-coding RNA, 2299 nt
Organism: Sapajus apella (tufted capuchin)
Lineage: Eukaryota; Metazoa; Chordata; Mammalia; Primates; Cebidae
Exons: 3
Source: RefSeq, a predicted model, not a curated record
GAACUCCUGACCUCAGCCAAUCCACCUGCCUCGGCCUCCUAAAGUGCUGGGAUUACAGGGGUGAGCCCCCACGCCCGGCCAGACCUUCCCAUUUCUGGUCAGGACUGACCCUGGGAUGAACUGACCUCCUUGAAGUGUAGAGGCGUCCUGGUUGUCUGGGGACUUUGGGUGGGAUCUCUGCCGGGUUUGCCUGCAGUGGAAGGAAAGGGAAGUGACUUAUCUUGGGCACCUGCUUUGACAAGGCACUGAGCUGAGGAUGUCCACAUGCAUCUGCUAAUUUAAUCCUGACAGUGGUCCUGAAAAGAUGCUUUCCCCAUUUUCCAUGUGGGGAGACUAAAGCUCAGAGAGGUCACUAGCCUGCCCGGGGGUGGCAUUGCCAGCGAGGGGUGAGCUCAUAUUGAGUCCGGGUCUGUGUGACCCUACAGCCGUGCCCUUGCCACUAUGCCGUUCCUGCCCCCCUGGCUGGUUGUGUUCUGCCCACUUCUAAGAAUGAUUUCCAGUGGCUUGCAAAGGUACAGUUAGCACGGUUUGACAAGCAGGGCGUGAAGCUGGGAGUUAGUGGGAACGAAGAGGAAAGAAAGUGAGAGGAGGCUGGGCAUGGUGGCUCACACUGUAAUCCCAGCACUUUGGGAGACAGAGGAAGGAGGAUCAGUGGAGCCCAGGAGUUCAGGGUCAGCCUGGGCAACAUAGGGAGACCCCAUCUCUAUUGUGAAAAUAAACUGUAGAUAAAGUGAGAGGAAAAGGCAGUUAGAACCAGAAAUAGACAACUAUCCAAAGUUCCCCAGACCCUGUGUACUUACGUCAUAAAGAUGAGACACAGACUUGAUUAUGAGCUUCCUAGCAACCAAUGCAAAAAGGGCAAACAGAGAAGUCAUGUGACUCACACUGUCCACAAGCUCAAAACAAAGCAUGCGUUGAGGGAAAGCACAGCUCCUCUGGUGUUGGUUUAAAAAAAAAAAAAAAAAAAUGUUCUCCCCAAGAUCCUCGUGAAAGAAGUCACUUGGUUUUUUUGCUGCUUACAAGUUGCUGGCAACCAAGUGCCACUGGCAUGUAUGUGACAGCUUCAUAGAGGCAGUAUUACAUUUAUCUGAAGGAAGACAAGCGGAUGUACAGGUCCAUUUUGGGGAGUGGAUACACCUCUUUCUAAAGGUAGAGGAACUUCUCUCUGGAUUGGUGAGGUGUGGGUGAUUUCAGAUACUGAUGUUCUGAGUUCGGAUACAGAGCAAAUGUGGCUUGUAAAGUACUGGUCAUUAGAACCAGAGAAUGAACUUCAUCCCUGUCUUUUAAAUCUGGUUCAUUCCCUCUUUUUAGAUACUUACUAUUUGGGGACAAAGAGAGCUCUAAGAAUUGUCUUGGCCCUUAGGGAUGGCAUCAGACCUGGCUGGGUUUCAGGGAUCUGUUGGAGAGAGAAGGUUGUGUCACGGAGCCCGCAUCAAAAACGGCCUUGAAGAGGGCCACGAGCACGGACGACCCGGGGAGGGCCCUGACCACUGACUGCCCCUGCCCCCUUGCUCCUCCUUUGGCCUUUUCUCUCUGUCGGUGGCCCUUUCUGCUGUAUUCACGCAGUGGCAUGUGCCCUCCCCACGUCCUGUGUCUUCAUGUGCUGGGGUUCAGCCGCCAAGGGGGAGAAAGCCUUUCUGUCAGGGAAGGACUCUGGCCCCGAUGCCUCUUCCUCCAGGGCAGUCCACCGUGGUAGGUGAGAGAAGAGGCCACUCCUAGAGAAAGAGACAUUGUCUGUACAUGUCAGGAGGGGUGCUGGGAGCUCGCCACAUGGUAACCAACAGACACAGCCCUCCUCGGCAUUCCAGGUUGCAUCCUGGUGCCUCGAUGACUUUCUGUUACCACUGACCCAGGGCAGGGUUUUAAAGAGUGACAUUAAGGCGAAAAGUUCUGGACCUCAUUACUGACCAGUGCAGCCAGGCACUGCCUUCCUUUUUGAUUCUAAAAAUGACACUUGGGUUUUAGAGUGUUGCUUUUCAAGUAGCCGAAAACCCCGCAUGCGCCUUCUGGUACAUUUCAGGAGAGAAGAAUCCAGGCGAUCCAUGGUAUUCUUGCCCGGGUCCCGGAAUCCAUCAGAGCGCAUGUGGGGCUUCAGCAAAGCCAGGCCUGCUUUUCCUGGCAGAGGCUGGGCCCUGUAAGCCUGAAUGCGCCUCCCAGCCCUUCCUCACCCAGCACCCGUGACCCACUGGGUCACAGUGACCCACAUCCCACGGCUCUGGCCACAGCUGGACUCAUCUCACACUCACAUAUAAUCAUGGCCCCUAGAAGGCACGUGUUUUUAAUGAGAGGCUCUUUUCCA